Callithrix jacchus (white-tufted-ear marmoset) is the source of this 2719-nucleotide long non-coding RNA. The record is from Ensembl. Lineage: Eukaryota; Metazoa; Chordata; Mammalia; Primates; Cebidae.
UCACAUAGCUUGGUAACCACAGCCCACUAAGUCUCUGACUAGUCUCCACUGACUCCUCUGUUUCCAGGGGGAUAGUUAUGAUCUCAUAGGGUUGUGAUGAGGCUUCUGUGAAGUUCAGGGAAAGUUCCUAAAGCAGUGGCCACUGCUUGAUACAAAAGUCUCUUUGCUCCAGCUGGGCAUGGUGACUUACGCCUACACAUUUUGGGAGGCCGAAGUAGGCAUAUCACUGGAGACCAGGAGUUCAAGACCAGCCUGGCCAACAUGGUGAAAACCCAUCUUUACGAAAAUUACAAAAAUUAGCUGGGUGCGUUAGCACAUGCUUGGAAUUCCAGCUACUCAGGAGGCUGAGGCGUGAGAAACACUUGAACCUGGGAGGUGGACGUUACAAUGAGCUGAGCUCACCCCACUGCACUCCUGCCUGGGUGACAGAAAUAGACUCCAUCUCAGAAAAAAAGAAAACAAAACAAAACUUCGCUCUUUUCAUCAAUAAUUAAUCAUAAAAAGAAGAAGAAUGGUUCUAUUAUUAAUAGUAGAAGAAAAUACUUCUAAUAGAAUUAGAAUAGAAUUAUUCUUCUAUAAUAAUUAUAAAAAGAAGGAAAAUGGUUGUAUUAUUAAUAGUAGAAAAAAUCUGGUGUUGGGGUCUGGCAACAUUGCCCAAGCUGGUCUCAGAACUCCUGGCCUCAAGCGGUCCUCCCACCUCAGACUUUCAAAGCACUGGUAUAACACUGUAAUCCUCUUUUUCUUAAUCAGUCUUACAAGACCAUUAUCAAUUUUAUCAGCCUAUUCAAAUCUCAAACAUUUGGCUUUAUUGAUUCUAUUGCACAUUUUUUUUCUAUUUUAGUAAUUAUGACUCUUGCCUUUGUUAUUCCCUCCCUUUUGUGUCAUUCAUGUUUAUUUUGUCCUUUGUGUAACUGCCGUGGUCUAAUGUUUGUGUCCUCCCCAAAGCUCAUGUGUUGAAAUCCUAACACCUAAUUCAGAUAGGUGUACCUGAAUACGACAAAGAGAAUGAAUCCAAGCUGGAAAAUACUCUUCAGGAUAUUAUUCAGGAAAACUUUCCCAACCUAGCAAGGCAGGACAAUACUCAACUCCAGGUAAUACAGAGAACACCACAAAGAUAUUCCUCAAGAAGAGCAACCCCAAGGCACAUAAUCAUGAGAUUAACCAGGGUUGAAAUGAAGGAGAAAAUACUAAGGGCAGCCAGGGAGAAAAGUCAGGUAACCUACAAAGGGAAGCCUAUCAGACUUACAGCAGAUCUCUUAGCAGAAACACUACAAGCCAGAAGAGAGUGGGGGCCAAUAUUCAACAUCCUUAAAGGAAAGAACUUUCAGCCCAGAAUUUCAUAUCCAGCCAAACUGAGCUUCACAACUGAAGGAAAAAUAAAAUCUUUUAUGAACAAGCAAGUACUCAGAGAUUUUAUUACCACCAGGCCUGCUUAACAAGAGCUUCUGAAAGAAGCAUUAUACAUAGAAAGGAACAACCAGUAUUAGCCUUUCUAAAAAUAUACCAAAAAGUAAAGAGCAUCAACAUAAUGAAGAAUUUACAACAAUGAAUGGACAAAACAGCCAGUUAAUAUCAAAUGGCAGUAAUCCUAAAUUUAAAUCAACUAAAUCCCUCAAUCAAAAGAUACAGCCAAAACCCAGAGGUAUGCUACAUCCAGACCCAUUUCACAUGCAAGGAUACACAAAGACUCAAAACAAAGGGAUGGAGAAAGAUUUACCAACCAAAUGGAGAGCAAAAAUAAAUAAAUAAAUAAAUAAAUAAAUAAAAAGCAGGAGUUGCAAUUCUGACCUCUGAUAAAAUAGAUUUUAAAGCAGCAAAGAUAUAGUGGUUAAAGAUUCAAUGCAACAAGAAGACUUAACGAUCCUAACACCCAGAUACAUAAGACCUAUAAAGAGACUUAGACUCCCUAGACUCCCACACAAUAAUGGUGGGAGAGUUCAACGUCAGUAUUGGAUGGAUUAACGAGACAGAAGAUUGAUGGGCAUGUCCAGGACUUGAACUCAGAUCCGGAACAAGUAAACUUGAUAGGCAUCUAUAGAGCUCUCUACUUUAAAUACAUAAGGUAUACAUCUUGUCAGUGCCACAUCACACGUACUCAUAGGUUUAAAUGAAAUAUUGAUCGGCCAUUAUUAAGCACAAUUAUUGGCAUAAAAGGAGUUUUCAAUACCCAUUUUUAGAAUAAAGCAGCAUUCCCGUUCUCUCUCCUUCUUUUUCUUCCUCUUUCUUCCUCUCCUUUACUCUUUUUUUUUCUUUCCUUCUCUCCUUUCUAAAAAAAAAAAAAAAGAGGAAAAAAAAAAAAAGAAAUCCUAACACCCAAGGUAAUGGAAUUUGGAGGUGGGGCCUUUGGAAGGUGAUAGGCUAUGAGAGUGAAACUGCUCAUGAACGGGAUUAGUGUCCUCAUAAAAGAAGCCCCAAAGAGCUCAUUUGUUCCUUCUGUAAUACUGAUGCAACACGAAGGCAUGUCCACAAACCAGGAAGCUGGCCUUCACUGGGCACUGAAUCUGCCAGCACCUUGACCUGGACUUCCCAGCCUCCAGAACUGUGAGAAAUAAAUUCCUGUUGUUUAUAAGCCAUCCAGUCUAUGGUAUAAUGUGAUAGCAGCCCAAAUGGACAAAGGUACUAACUUACUUAGGUAUUCACACAAUAGCCUCCCUCUAAGAUCUGGGUUCAGGACAUGCCUGUAGGAUCAGUCCCUGUAAGGGAGGGAAACCACCAGGGC